AGAGCAGAACUUGGACUGAGUCCUGCAGGACACAGGUAUUAGCUUUUCUCUUUUAUUUGCUUUAUGUUUCAUUUACUUCUUUGGAUCGAAUAGCUCCAAUUGUAUUGCUGUUAUUUGGUUUUUCAUUUUGUUGUUGGGUUUUUUGAUGUGGUGUUUUUUUGUUUUGUUUUGUUUCUUUUUGUCUUUUUAGAAAGAGGGUUUCCCUCUAUUGCCCUGGCUGGAGUACAGUGGUGGAAUCACUGUUCACUACAGCCUCCAACUUAUUCCUGGGCUCAAGCAAUCCUUCUGUCUCCAUCUCCUGAGCAGCUGGGACUCUAGGCAUUUGCCACCGUGCCCAAUUUUUUUUUAAUUCCUUUUUAAAAAUAUUUUAAUCCUUUCCGGAAAAAAAUAUGUUUUCCAUGGACUUGCUUAUUUCCUUUAUACAGUCCAUUGUCGUUGAAUUCUUAUUUGAAUUUGUGAUACACCCUCUCUGUUGAUGAUUGUACUAAACAAAAUAAUUUCAUUUUUACACAACCAGUUGUAUGUGAACUAUGUUGAAAACAGGAUGCAUGACUGGCGGCCAGAACAAAGAAGUUUGGUUUAAUUUCUAUCUAUACACCCAGUAAAAUAUCUGUAAUACCACUGGAAAACCUUAAAAUACAUUAUCUAUUUCUUGUAAAAGAAUGAUGAAAUGUGAAUUUGAACAGCAUAAAUAUGUACAAGUAUCUCUUCUCAACGGAAAAAAUUAUGUUUGUGGAUGAAAUAUGAACCGAGUUUGUGGAUGAAAUAUGAGCAGCAUGAAUAUGCACAGAUAUCUCUCCUCAAUGGAAAAAAUCACGUACAAAAUAUAAGAACCCAGUUUGUGGAUGCGUGAAUAAUGAUAAAUUGAGGCCGGGCGCGGUGGCUCACGCCUGUAAUCCCAGCACUUUGGGAGGCUGAGAUGGGCGGAUGACCCGAGGUCCGGAGCUCAAAUCCAGCUCGACCAAUGCGGUGAAACCCCAUCUCUAGUAAAAAUACGAAAAUUAGCCGGGUGUGGUGGCGCAUGCCUGUAAUCCCAGCUACUCGGGAAGCUGAGGCAGGAGAAAUGCUUGAACCCUGGAGGUGGAGGUUAAUAGUGUGCCCAGAUCGCACGACUGCACUCCAGACUGGGUAACAGAGUGAGACUCCGCUUCAAAAAAACAAAAAACAAAGAAUAAUAAUAAUAACGAUAAAUCCUAUAUGUUACGGUAAAAAUCUUCAUGAGAACAAAUUUACUAUCAUUUUUUCUACUGAAUGGAUGAUCAUGAAAAGGAAUUUAUUUUUAUUUCGUAUGAUGGACUGAGCAUCAUGAAAAAAAAUACUACCUUUUGGAUUGUUGAACUUCCAUCCUGAGAAAUUUACUAUUGUGCUGCAUGCUGCAGUGAUGAUCUUGUGAUCUCAGCAAUGCCCAUGGGGCAAUUUACAUCGGGACUCGUUUCAUCUCUAGACCUUCACUUACCUGAGAAAGACAAGUGUCUUUUGAUAAAUAAAAUAUUGUUA
RNAcentral lists this long non-coding RNA (1497 nucleotides) under Homo sapiens (human). RNAcentral's name for it is "HSALNT0398014". The record is from RNAcentral. Lineage: Eukaryota; Metazoa; Chordata; Mammalia; Primates; Hominidae.